UACGAAGGGUGCAAACGUUGCUCGGAAUUAUUGGGCGUAAAGCGCACGUAGGCGGCAUUGCAAGUCGGAUGUGAAAUCCCUCGGCUUAACCAAGGAAGUGCAUCCGAAACUGCUGUGCUUGAGUACUUAAGAGGAUCGCGGAAUUCCCGGUGUAGAGGUGAAAUGCGUAGAUAUCAGGAGGAAUACCGAUGGCGAAGGCAGCUCGCUGGGACGUGACUGACGCUGAGACGCGAAAGCGUGGGGAGCAAACAGG
This 253-nucleotide ribosomal RNA is filed under the name uncultured bacterium. Its description in RNAcentral is "partial 16S ribosomal RNA". It matches the Rfam family "Bacterial small subunit ribosomal RNA", at positions 524 to 776 of the family's 1533-position model. The record is from RNAcentral.